GAGAUUUUGGUUUAAAAUGUUUAUUUUUGGGAAAAGCUAUUCUCGCAAAUAUAUUUUUGCGAAAACAUGUAUUGGCUAAAAUGCUAGGAGGCUACAAAAGAAAUGGAACAUGGUAAAGUAAAAUGGUUUAACGGUGAAAAAGGCUUUGGCUUUAUUGAGCGUGAAGGCGGAGAAGAUGUAUUUGUUCACUUUUCUGCAAUCCAGGGGGAAGGGUACAAAACAUUAGAAGAAGGUCAAGAGGUGACCUUUGACAUCGAAAAUGGCCAACGUGGACCACAAGCUGUUAAUGUCCAAAAACAAUAAAUGGCAACAUGAAACAAACCCCAAUACAGGGGUUUGUUUUUU
Molecule: small RNA, 345 nt
Filed under: Bacillus sp. MUM 116
Lineage: Bacteria; Bacillati; Bacillota; Bacilli; Caryophanales; Bacillaceae
Description: cspA thermoregulator
Rfam family: cspA thermoregulator
Source: Rfam by way of RNAcentral